RNAcentral lists this small RNA (505 nucleotides) under Pongo abelii (Sumatran orangutan). RNAcentral describes it as "retained intron". The record is from RNAcentral. Lineage: Eukaryota; Metazoa; Chordata; Mammalia; Primates; Hominidae.
GAGGAGGAGGAGAUGACGGGGGAGCGGGAGCUCGAGAAUACUGCCCAGUUACUCUAGCGCGCCAGGCCGAACCGCAGCUUCUUGGCUUAGGUACUUCUACUCACAGCGGCCGAUUCCGAGGCCAACUCCAGCAAUGGCUUUUGCAAACCUGCGGAAAGUGCUCAUCAGUGACAGCCUGGACCCUUGCUGCCGGAAGAUCUUGCAAGAUGGAGGGCUGCAGGUGGUGGAAAAGCAGAACCUUAGCAAAGAGGAGCUGAUAGCCGAGCUGCAGGACUGUGAAGGCCUUAUUGUUCGCUCUGCCACCAAGGUGACCGCUGAUGUCAUCAACGCAGCUGAGAAACUCCAGGUGGUGGGCAGGGCUGGCACAGGUGUGGACAAUGUGGAUCUGGAGGCCGCAACAAGGAAGGGCAUCUUGGUUAUGAACACGCCCAAUGGGAACAGCCUCAGUGCCGCAGAACUCACCUGUGGGAUGAUCAUGUGCCUGGCCAGGUAAGUCCUUGACUUC